RNAcentral lists this ribosomal RNA (427 nucleotides) under uncultured bacterium. RNAcentral describes it as "bacterial SSU rRNA". It matches the Rfam family "Bacterial small subunit ribosomal RNA", at positions 355 to 774 of the family's 1533-position model. The record is from RNAcentral.
UGGGGAAUUUUGGACAAUGGGCGCAAGCCUGAUCCAGCAAUGCCGCGUGCAGGAUGAAGGCCUUCGGGUUGUAAACUGCUUUUGUACGGAGCGAAAAGGUCUGCCCUAAUACGGUGGGCUCAUGACGGUACCGUAAGAAUAAGCACCGGCUAACUACGUGCCAGCAGCCGCGGUAAUACGUAGGGUGCGAGCGUUAAUCGGAAUUACUGUGCGUAAAGCGUGCGCAGGCGGUUAUAUAAGACAGGUGUGAAAUCCCCGGGCUCAACCUGGGACCUGCAUUUGUAACUGUAUAGCUAGAGUACGGUAGGGGGGGAUGGAAUUCCGCGUGUAGCAGUGAAAUGCGUAGAUAUGCGGAGGAACACCGAUGGCGAAGUCAAUCCCCUGGACCUGUACUGACGCUCAUGCACGAAAGCGUGGGGAGCAAACA